This 30-nucleotide non-coding RNA is filed under the name Mus musculus (house mouse). The record is from RNAcentral. Lineage: Eukaryota; Metazoa; Chordata; Mammalia; Rodentia; Muridae.
UAAGCAAAAAACUCUUAUGCACAUGCGCAC